RNAcentral lists this ribosomal RNA (468 nucleotides) under uncultured bacterium. RNAcentral's name for it is "partial 16S ribosomal RNA". It matches the Rfam family "Bacterial small subunit ribosomal RNA", at positions 28 to 507 of the family's 1533-position model. The record is from RNAcentral.
GACGAACGCUGGCGGCGUGCUUAACACAUGCAAGUCGAACGGAAAGGCCCUGCUUUUGUGGGGUGCUCGAGUGGCGAACGGGUGAGUAACACGUGAGUAACCUGCCCUUGACUUAGGGAUAACUUCAGGAAACUGGGGCUAAUACCGGAUAGGAGCUCCUGCUGCAUGGUGGGGGUUGGAAAGUUUCGGCGGUUGGGGAUGGACUCGCGGCUUAUCAGCUUGUUUGUGGGGUAGUGGCUUACCAAGGCUUUGACGGGUAGCCGGCCUGAGAGGGUGACCGGGGACAUUGGGACUGAGAGACGGACCAGACUCCUACGGGAGGCAGCAGUGGGGAAUAUUGCACAAUGGGCGGAAGCCUGAUGCAGCAACGCCGCGUGCGGGAUGACGGCCUUCGGGUUGUAAACCGCUUUCGCCUGUGACGAAGCGUGAGUGACGGUAAUGGGUAAAGAAGCACCGGCUAACUACGUG